GGGGAUAUAGCUCAAUGGGAGAGCGUCCGCCUUGCACGCGGAAGGUUGCCGGUUCGAGUCCGGCUAUCUCCA
Molecule: transfer RNA, 72 nt
Filed under: Candidatus Omnitrophota bacterium
Lineage: Bacteria; Pseudomonadati; Candidatus Omnitrophota
Description: Candidatus Omnitrophica bacterium tRNA-Ala
Rfam family: tRNA
About the family: Transfer RNA (tRNA) molecules are approximately 80 nucleotides in length. Their secondary structure includes four short double-helical elements and three loops (D, anti-codon, and T loops).
Source: RNAcentral